UACGGAGGGGGCUAGCGUUGUUCGGAAUUACUGGGCGUAAAGCGCACGUAGGCGGACUGUUAAGUCGGGGGUGAAAUCCUGGGGCUCAACCUCAGAAUUGCCUCCGAUACUGGUAGUCUCGAGUGCGGGAGAGGUGACUGGAAUUCCUGGUGUAGCGGUGAAGUGCGCAGAUAUCAGGAGGAACACCGGUGGCGAAGGCGGGUCUCUGGGCCGUAACUGACGCUGAGGAGCGAAAGCAUGGGGAGCGAACAGG
This 253-nucleotide ribosomal RNA is filed under the name uncultured bacterium. RNAcentral describes it as "partial 16S ribosomal RNA". It matches the Rfam family "Bacterial small subunit ribosomal RNA", at positions 524 to 776 of the family's 1533-position model. The record is from RNAcentral.